UACGUAGGUGGCAAGCGUUGUCCGGAAUUAUUGGGCGUAAAGCGCGCGCAGGCGGUCUCUUGAGUCUGAUGUGAAAGCCCACGGCUCAACCGUGGAGGGUCAUUGGAAACUGGGAGACUUGAGUGCAGAAGAGGAGAGCGGAAUUCCACGUGUAGCGGUGAAAUGCGUAGAGAUGUGGAGGAACACCAGUGGCGAAGGCGGCUCUCUGGUCUGUAACUGACGCUGAGGCGCGAAAGCGUGGGGAGCGAACAGG
RNAcentral lists this ribosomal RNA (253 nucleotides) under uncultured bacterium. RNAcentral describes it as "partial 16S ribosomal RNA". It matches the Rfam family "Bacterial small subunit ribosomal RNA", at positions 524 to 776 of the family's 1533-position model. The record is from RNAcentral.